Callithrix jacchus (white-tufted-ear marmoset) is the source of this 4867-nucleotide RNA transcript. RefSeq lists it as uncharacterized. NCBI's taxonomy places the organism in Eukaryota, Metazoa, Chordata, Mammalia, Primates, Cebidae. The record is from RefSeq and is a predicted model, not a curated record.
CGCCUGGCGGUCUUCCGGGCGGGUCUCUGCGCCGGGAGGCGCCGAAUAGGCGGGGCUUAGAUGCCGCGGGGCCGAGCUUUGGGCCACGCCCUCAGGGGCUACCCAAGCCCGGGAGGCGCAGUCCUGGCGUCCCGGGGGGACGGGGAACGAGGCGAGGGCCCGGAGACCUCUGCCACCUGGCCCGGCCGUAGUCUCAGAGUUCCUGCUCCUCACAGGAGCUAGUUAUUUAUGACAGCUGCAUGGUGCCCCUCCCUCAGGACUCAGUGCUUAGCACCCAGCACCCCUUACUCAGUCCUCAGUACCACACUCAGCCUCAGAGGACCUGGGCAGAGGGAAACAGGGAGUACCCCACCGAAACUCUCGCUCUGCCAAAAAUGUUUGGAGCCCUAGAGAACCUGGAUAAUUUCUGCAUGAAUUCUCCAAAUCAGAGGGCAAGCACAUUAGAUUUAAAGUGUAUGGCGUUUGUUUAAUCAGGGAUUCCAGAAAGUGAAGGCAUGCAGUAUUUCUCGUCUUUGGAAUGCCACCCUCCAACCAUCUAGACCUUUUAAUUUUCUUCGAUGCAGUCACCCCUGGAGGUUUACCCACCCCUGGUGGUUGUAACACCCAGGGUAGCAGACUUCAAGAAUGGCCACGCAUUCACCACUCCCUAUACGCUUGCCCCUCUGCUGUGUGGCUUUGUCCUUCUUCCCAGCAAGAAAUGGACUCUGCUUUCCAGUCCUAGAAUCAGCCUGGCUGGGUGACCUGCUCUGGCCAGUGGGACAUUAGAAAAUACAAAGCUAUAGGAAAGUGCUUGUGCAUUAGAAUUUGCCCUUUCUUACGGCCCCUAGGAACCCUCAACGGCCAUGGGCCACAGCAUCAUAAGUCCCAGGCAGCCCAGCCGAAGACAGGUGACCUGGUCACCUCCAUCACCCCUGCUAACACCCUCUUUUCCACAUCCCUAAACACAGUUCUCCUGUAAGACCACAUGGGCCAUUGUAAGCUUUGUCUUUUGCUCCGGGAGAGGUGAGAAGCCGCUGUGGCUUACUAACAGGUGUGAUGUGAUCUGUCUGCUGCUGAGGGCCUGGACAGCAAUUGAGGAAGACUUGUGGCAGGAAUUCAGAGCCCAGUGACCUGGACCAGGGCAGAGGCAGCAGAGCAGGGGAGAAGUGGUUGGAUUCUGAAUGCGUUUUGAAAGGAGGAUUUCCUGUCACAUGGGGAAUGUGAUCAGAAAAGGGGCAAGAUGGGGAGAACUCUGAGGUAUCUGGCCUUAGCAGCCAGGACAGCUGCAUCACCGAAGACAGGGAAGGCUUCAGUUAGAACAAGUUUUGGGGAAAAGACACGCAGUUCUUAAAAUGUGAUGAUGACACCUCCUGGCCACCAACAUAUGCUCUAUGGAUAUGAAGUUUCAUUUCAUAUCAGAAGAAUAUGGCUGGCAAUAAACAUUUUAAAAGAUGUUUUAUCUCAUUAAUACCCAGGGCAUGAAAACGAACCUAAAUGAAGUACCUAUUCAUUGGGUGGGCAACAUUUUUUUAAUUUGACAAUAUUGAAUGCCGCAAGAAUGUGGAACAAUAGAAAUUCUAUGCCACUGGAGGUAGCGUGAACCAACAUAAUAUCUCUUUAAGUAAUUCAGCAUUAUCCCAUAAAGCUGAAGAUAAGCAAUGAGCAGUUGCAGUCCUGCCCAUGUAUCCUAGAAAAGCUCUUGAGCAUGUACACCGAGAGAUGUGAGCGAGAAUCCCCACAGCUGCACCACUUGAAGGAGCAGACGUCUGCAAAUAGCCCAGCUGUCUGUCCACAGUGGAACUGGUAAAUAAACCAAUUCGUUCAUGCAAUAGAAUGCGAUUCUGGAAAACUAGUGAAUAGUAGCUGCAACCAGCAAUACAGAUGAAUCUAAGACAGUGUCGAGCAAAAGAAAACAUCAGAAGACACAGUGACUUCAUUCAGGUUCCAGGAAUGGUGCAUUAAGGCUCUCCAGAGGAACAGAACUAAUUAGGGGGUGCAAGUGUAGAAAGAGAGUGGGAGAGAGAUGUAUUAUGAAGAAUUGGCCCACAUGAUUCUGGAGGCUGAGAAGUCCGAAGAUUUGCAGAUGGCAAGCUGGAGACCACAGUUUAAGUUCCCAUUUGAAAGCCGGCAGCCUCAAGACCAAGAAGAGCUGAUACUUGAGUCUGAGGCCAAAGGCAAGAAAAGACCAACGUGUCAGCUGAAGCAGGAGGAGUUCCCCCUUACUCAAGGGAGGGUCAGUCUCUUUGUGCUGCUGCGGACUUGAGUGGAUUGGAUCAUGCCCACCCACAUUGGGAGGGCCAUCUGCUUUGCUCAGUCUACCAAUUCAAACAUUAAUCUCAUCCAGAAGCACCUUCACAGACAUACCCAGAAUAUUGUUUGACCAGCUAUCUGGACAUCCAUGGUCAGUCAAGUUGACACAUAACAUUAACCAUCACAGUUGGGACCCCUGUUUUUAUUCUACUCUUCUUAAUAGACAUGGAGAGGAAUUGGCCUCUUGGGCUUCUAACUCAUCGGCUGUUGCCCGUAGGAGCUGCUGCCUACUCAUCACCACUCAGCAUACUGCAUUACGCUUUCCAGGCAGUUACACCACGUACUUCUUAGGCUUGAGCAAACUAAGGGAUGGUUUGGCACAUUUUCUAAAGGUAAUAUCAUAAAUAAACAUGGAUUCCAAUCUUUUUUUUUUUUUUUUUUGAGAUGGAGUCUCUAUCACCCAGGCUGGAGUAUAGUGGGGCAGUUUCAGCUCACUGCAACCUCCACCUCCUGGGUUCAAGCAAUUCUCCUGCCUCAGCCUCCCAAGUAGCUAGGAUUACAGGCGUGCACCACCAAGCCCGGCUCAUUUUUGUGUUUUUAGUUGAGACAGGGUUUCACCAUGGUGGCCAGGCUGGUAUUGAACUCCUAACCUCAGGUGAUCCACCUGCCUUGGUCUCCCAAAGUGCUGGGAUUACAGGCAUGAGCCACCGUGCCCGGCCUUGAUUCUAAUCAUUUGUAUUGGCUCAUCAUACCUCACCUUCCGUCAUACAUCAUCUUCCUAAGCUUUAUUUACCUAUCCUGACUCUUUUUCUUCCAACUUCAACACACAUAAUUUAGGAGGGAAAUGAGUCAAAAUAGGGCAGGGCAGGAGAAGGAACAAGCCAUCAAGUGAACCUCUUUGUGCCACAGAAGGAGCAAGAAUGUCUUUGGACCAGUCAGGAAUCACAGAUGUGUGAUACCUAAAGGACACUGGGCAUCUCCUAUCCUUUUGCAACCAAGUCGCAGAGAAAUUUAGAGACUUUCCUAAAGAGACACACAUUAGUGACUAGGGUAACCCAGACUUGGUGACUUUCAGCCCGUCAUCCUUCCCAUCAUUUCCCAUUCCUACUAGAGGAGAACUUAGUGCCUUCCCACCUCUGAGCCCAUUCCUUCUACCAAGUCUCCUCACUGUCCUGUCUUCACUCCAGUGGGGACUCAUCCACACAGCGUCACAAUUGCACUUUGUUGGAAGGAAACAGCUUGAAAUGCAAAUUCCAUGUGUUACACUCCUGUUUAGUGUCAUGCCUGCUUUCAUUUCUCAAUUUUUGUUUUACCACCAUUUUUAAGGCCAUUCUGCCUUUCAAGCUUGUAUCUUUUACUUAAAAUGACAAAUAUUUCUGAGCACGUAGUAUUUGCCAGGCACUGUUCUUUUCUUUAAUUUUUAAAAAAUAUUUUGCGUAGACAUGAUUUCGCCAUGUUUCCCAGGCUGGUCUUGAACUCCUGGGCUCAAGCAAUCCUCCUGCCUUAACCUCCCAAAGUUCUGGAAUUCUAGGUGUGAGCCACCGCACCUGGCCUUUUUCUUUUCUUUUCUUUCUUUUUUUUUUUUUUUUUUUUGAGACAAAGUCUUGCUCUCUUGCUCAGGCUGAAGUGCAGUGAUGCAAUUAUAGCUCAUUACAACCUUGAACUCCUGGCUCAAGCAAUCCUCCCAGCAGGCACUGUUCUAAUUGCCUUACGUGUAUCAUCCAAUUUCACAUUUACCAUCAUUCCAUAUGUAAUUACUGAUUAUGCCCACAUUACAGUUUAGAAAAUUCAAGGACAGAGAGGUAGUAAUUUCCUUAAGGUCACACAGCAAGUAGAUGAAAGAACUAGAAUUGAAACCCAGGCUGUCUAUUUCAACACUUCUAACCACUAUGGUACAUAGCCUCUUAACACGUAGUGUUCCCUGAGUUAAGGACAGUAAAGCAACAGAGAUUAUGAGCUAACUCAUCGCUCAUCUUCUUGCUGUACACUACACGUGUAACCACCUCAUUUUUACCGAGGAUUUGAGGCACGUGGGUGCAAAUGAAGCAAGUGGGUGCAAAUGAUGGAGUCCCUGCUUCAUCAGAUGGGGAUUCCCUUGACACACAAAGUGGCUUCCGGUAUAGUUCAGCCAAAAAGAACUACAUCGUCCACAUACAAAGUUCUCUGAGGAUCCAGCAUAAUCCAAAUAUAAAACCUAGACUCCCUAAAUAAAUGAAUGGACUUUCAGAAUUUGGUAAGUGGUAACCAGUCAGUGCCAUGCUAGAGACCGCUUGUACUGCCCUGUGAGAAAUGCUCAUUAAUUUUUAGGAAUUUUGCAAGCCAGUUGUUAAAUAUAACCAUUUUUCUUUAUUUUUGAGAUGCAGUCUCGCACUGUUGACCAAGCUGGAGUGCAAUGGCAUGGUCUUGGCUCAUUGUAACCUCCGCCUCCCAGGUUCAAGUGAUUCUCCUGCCUCAGCUCUCUUAGUAGCUGGGAUUACGGGCACACACCACCAUGCCCAGCUGAUUUUUGUAUUUUUAAUAGAAAUGGGGUUUCACCAUGUUGGCCAGUCUGGUCUUGAACUCCUGACCUCAGGUGAUCCACCUGCCUUGGCCUCCCAAAUUGCUGGGAUUACAAGCAUAAGCCACUGCACCCAGCCAA